CGCGGGGAUUCGUUGGAGGCUAACGGCUGCCGCGCGAGCGUUGCCAGCCCCGGCUUCCAAAGGGACCACAGUGAACACAGCGAUAGGUAAAUAAAUAAAUUGGGUGAAAACCGGUUGCAUCUGCACUGUUGAAGAGGCCUACCUGAACAGAAGUUCAUUGGCAGAUUAUUGUGAAUAUAUUCAGUUAUUAACCUCCAUGGAGAAAGAAAAGAAAGCGAGACUUUCCCUCCUGGUCUUUCAGAUCAAUAAAAUUUAAGACAGCUGACUGUGCCGAUAUAUGUGAAAUGCAAAACCUAAAAUGCAGAAUGAAGAUUUGAUUGAUUAAUUUGAAGAGUUGUGAAUCAACUAGAUCCACUACCACGGCACCGAAUUGAUUCUGUCUUUUUACUGCUUGUUAAUGCCUGCUUAAUACCAUAGCAUCAGCAUUGGAGACUUUAUUACAAUUAAGACAAUUGUAAAAUGAGGCAAUCUUCAGUGGAAAGGUUGAGAAGACCAGUCUCACAUUGCAGCCCAUCGAAGCAGAUUUCCACCAUAUAAUGCAUUUUUAGAGCAUUGAUCCAAUUAUCACGGCUGACUCAACAUAUCUUCAAGCAGAGAUGAGCUGCUUUGCAGUUGUAUGUACUGAAGGAAGAUGAAGAGAGAGCAAUCAUUUUCUUUUUUCUGUGUCAGCACACCUGAACCUGAACCAGGCCUCCAAGUAGGAUUAGUAUUGGAAUCAGUGGAAGAGUUUGAAGUUUUUGUAUAAAACCGUGAAGCAAAAUUAAAAGGAAGACUGAGAAGAAACAU
Long non-coding RNA from Stegostoma tigrinum, 786 nucleotides. RefSeq lists it as uncharacterized. The record is from RefSeq and is a predicted model, not a curated record. NCBI's taxonomy places the organism in Eukaryota, Metazoa, Chordata, Chondrichthyes, Orectolobiformes, Stegostomatidae. The transcript is spliced from 4 exons.